RNAcentral lists this ribosomal RNA (684 nucleotides) under Triticum aestivum (bread wheat). Its description in RNAcentral is "partial small subunit ribosomal RNA". Lineage: Eukaryota; Viridiplantae; Streptophyta; Magnoliopsida; Poales; Poaceae. The record is from RNAcentral.
AUGGAUGGAUCAACUAUAGGUUCGAGUUUAGCCAAUAUACGUACACGACUAAGGACAGAAGGAGCUGGAGGCCAACAAGGAAUAGAAGAAGCUGAUUCGACAAUGGAUUUGUCUUCCUCAGUCUCUUCGAACUUUUCCAAUCCUGCUAUUUUCCCCAACUUGAAGCAUGGCUUGCCGUUUCGAGGCUCGAUGCUACUCUUGGGAACAUUAUUGAUACAUCGACUUUCAAGCAUCUCAUCAGAUCCACCGGACCAGAAACUCAAUUCCGCACUGCUGCUGAGUCGUCAGACUUAUCCACCUCAGGGAUUCCGCCCUUUUUUUGCGGGUACUAAGAGUCCUCUCACUACCAACCAACAGACAUCAUCAUCUGGCUGGGUCUUGCCGGGGAGAUCAAAACAAGAAGUCACGCCUAGACGACGACGCCUGUCCUGGGCUGCAGUAAGUAGAUCGAGAGGUCGUUCCGCCCCUUGUCCCCAAAGAUGGGGCCUAGCUGGCGAGCGAUCCCAGUCCGCGGCAGAGAACAAGACAGCAAGCGAGCGUACCUUUGUUCGCUUCUUUUCCACCAAGCACAGAAGUUUAAGGAGAACUGUAGGUCGGUGGCUACCUAAGGAAACUCCGAUUCGAUCCGCCCCCCGGCUGGGAGGCAUCUACCUCAUCCCGAUCACAAGGAGAGGUUCACCAUGA